Molecule: ribosomal RNA, 492 nt
Filed under: uncultured bacterium
Lineage: Bacteria
Description: partial 16S ribosomal RNA
Rfam family: Bacterial small subunit ribosomal RNA
Source: RNAcentral
AGUGAACGCUGGCGGUAGGCCUAACACAUGCAAGUCGAACGGCAGCACAGUAAGAGCUUGCUCUUACGGGUGGCGAGUGGCGGACGGGUGAGGAAUACAUCGGAAUCUACUUUUUCGUGGGGGAUAACGUAGGGAAACUUACGCUAAUACCGCAUACGACCUACGGGUGAGAGCAGGGGAUCUUCGGACCUUUCGCGAUUGAAUGAGCCGAUGUCGGAUUAGCUAGUUGGCGGGGUAAAGGCCCACCAAGGCGACGAUCCGUAGCUGGUCUGAGAGGAUGAUCAGCCACACUGGAACUGAGACACGGUCCAGACUCCUACGGGAGGCAGCAGUGGGGAAUAUUGGACAAUGGGCGCAAGCCUGAUCCAGCCAUACCGCGUGGGUGAAGAAGGCCUUCGGGUUGUAAAGCCCUGUUGUUGGGAAAGAAAAGCAGCAGGUUAAUACCCCGCUGUUCUGACGGUACCCAAAGAAUAAGCACCGGCUAACUUCGUG